Long non-coding RNA from Acyrthosiphon pisum (pea aphid), 384 nucleotides. RefSeq lists it as uncharacterized. Lineage: Eukaryota; Metazoa; Arthropoda; Insecta; Hemiptera; Aphididae. The record is from RefSeq and is a predicted model, not a curated record. The transcript is spliced from 3 exons.
CAGGAGAAAGGGGAAUUCAUUAUAACAUUCCCCUUUGGAUAUCAUAGUGACUUUAACUACGGAUUUAACAUGGCUGAAACUAUACAUUUUGCAUCAUCUCCACGUUGGGUGGAGUAUGGGAUAAAAGCUUCACUGUGUCAUUGCCGUAAAGAUUCAGUGAAGAUUUGUAUGGACACAUUUAUUAAACUAUAUUUUAAUUCCGUAUCAUGAAAUAAACCUUAUAUAAAUAAACACGGAAGACAUGGACUUGUAUAGUAUUAACUGUAUACAUGUUGGAAAUCGAAAAGCAUUGUAUUCAAUACCUCCAGAAUAUGGACACGAAUUUGAAUGAUUGGCUAAUCGCUUUUUUCCAACUAAACCGGCAAACUGCCCUGCUUUUCUCAG